AGAUCGUACCCUAAACCGACACAGGUGGAUAGGUAGAGAAUACUAAGGCGCUUGAGAGAACUCGGGUGAAGGAACUAGGCAAAAUGGCACCGUAACUUCGGGAGAAGGUGCGCCGGUGAGGGUGAAGGACUUGCUCCGUAAGCUCAUGCCGGUCGAAGAUACCAGGCCGCUGCGACUGUUUAUUAAAAACACAGCACUGUGCUAAAUCGAAAGAUGACGUAUACGGUGUGACACCUGCCCGGUGCCGGAAGGUUAAUUGAUGGG
Molecule: ribosomal RNA, 264 nt
Filed under: Heterosigma akashiwo
Lineage: Eukaryota; Raphidophyceae; Chattonellales; Chattonellaceae
Description: partial Bacterial large subunit ribosomal RNA
Rfam family: Bacterial large subunit ribosomal RNA
Source: RNAcentral